GGAGAGAUGGGUGCACGUCAUGGAAAAGGUUUUUGGUCUGGUAGCUUUCUGAUCGAAGCGGCAGGAAGAUCUUUGUGGUCCAGCUGUAUAGGAAAAGCAAGGGAUCAGUCUACGGAUAUCCUCGAGUUAGACGAAGUGAGAUGUUCUAGCAGUCGAACCUGGAUGAGCUCCAGAACAAAGUGUGUGUCUUUGCUGUAGAGUUCAGUGGAAAGGCGUUCGAGACUGCGGCCGAGCCGAGCCUGUUGCUUCUUCAUCAGGUUCUGACCCGCUUCGUUCAGCUCCACUCCAACACCAAACUCAUUCUUCCUACAUGCGACAGAGGACCAGUUCAAGGGAAACUGAACACAACAUAAAAAAAUCAAAUUCAUUAAAAGACUGGAAAUGUCUGAACCUGAUGUCCUCGACGAUGGCCCUCUGCUGGCUGAGCUGCUCACUGGUUUCAUCCCCUUCUGAAUGUCCUUCAGGAAGCUCU
Molecule: long non-coding RNA, 472 nt
Organism: Hemibagrus wyckioides
Lineage: Eukaryota; Metazoa; Chordata; Actinopteri; Siluriformes; Bagridae
Exons: 3
Source: RefSeq, a predicted model, not a curated record